RNAcentral lists this long non-coding RNA (607 nucleotides) under Vitis vinifera (wine grape). RNAcentral's name for it is "long non-coding RNA (VVIN_LNC007471)". Lineage: Eukaryota; Viridiplantae; Streptophyta; Magnoliopsida; Vitales; Vitaceae. The record is from RNAcentral.
UCGUCCCUGCAAAACCCUUUUCAUCUCCUCCUACUCCGUAUCCUUCCACCCCAAUUUCCCCGAUCAAAAUAACCCUAACUCCGCAGGCACCGCCGGAAUUCUCACGAUUUUCACUGAGAUCCGGCAAUUUAACCCCCGUCCGCCGCUCACCUUCGUCGACGCCGUCGAGGAUCAGCACCCGAUCGAGCGUCCGCCGCGAUUUGGCCUCGGUCUAGGGUUCGACUCCGACUCCCUCCGCGACCGCACCAAGGACGUGCUCAGCGUUGUUGUGGCGCUGCUCUUCGGCGUCGGCUGUGGCGCUCUCACCGCCGCAACCAUGUACUUGGGUUGGUCGCUCUUCUCCAACCGCCACCGCUACUCCGACUUCGAUUACGAUGACUUUGAGGAUGAUGACGUUGACAUGAGCCCUAAGAAGGUGGGCUAUGUGAGGAUCCCUCCUCCUGCUGAUGCCUCUACUCCCGUGGCAAAAGAGGCGGUAUGAGGCACAGAAAAAUUAGGGUUUUAAUGCUUAAUGCCUAGUGUUUUGCGUUUCUGAACCAGGUGCUAUUUGCUAUGUUAUUAUGAAUUAUAUUGCUAAAAAUGUGGGUACUUAUAUGGUUUUGUGUUU